Long non-coding RNA from Sitophilus oryzae (rice weevil), 977 nucleotides. RefSeq lists it as uncharacterized. The transcript is spliced from 4 exons. The record is from RefSeq and is a predicted model, not a curated record. Lineage: Eukaryota; Metazoa; Arthropoda; Insecta; Coleoptera; Curculionidae.
UGCUGUAUUUUAAUAAUCUGUCAAAAAUCAAAAUCAUCAGGAUAAUAUUAGGAUGAUAUUAGGUAUUGAUUUUCAAACAAGAAUUAGAUUACAGCGAUGGUCAAAAGCAUUUAGAUAUUGCUUUGAAAUCUACAGAUAAGGUAUGGCAGUUUCGUUUUAAAGAACAAGAUGUUAAAGUUUAUGAUAAAAUUGUCAUCAGAAAUACUGUCCACUUGCAGUAUUUACAUAGGAAAAUGUUGGAGGAUGAAGCUCUACCUACUGCCUCAGGUUAAUUUAAAUUCUGAAUUGCAACAACAGCAACAAGCAAGAAGGGCACCAUUAAAUGAAUAUUAUACACAUAAAGCAACAACAGAAUAAAAAACCAAAAUAUGAACACCAGCAACUAAAACAGGAACCAUUAAAUGAAUAUUAUACCCAGCAAUAACAGCAUCAAAUAAUGGAAAUAAUGGACCUUAUUGCACAAAUCAAAAACAAAAUUUCAGCAUUACUACUUUAUUGGUUAUAUCAAUAAAAGAAAUUGAGUUUAUCAGUCUAGAUCCUACAAGCAAGCAGAUCUAUCACAUAAUUUUAAAUGAAGAUUUAUCUAUCAUAGUAAUUUAUUCUAAUAACGAAAAAAAAACUUUGGAUCAAAAAAUAUUUUCUUCUGAUGAGGUUUAUGAAUAUUAAAGUCUGUUGAAGUUUGGCCAUUAUGUGUUGGUAUACAAUUUAUUUAUGAUGUUACAGUAGUUAAACCAUCCGAGUACGAAACAUGUUUAAAAUCCACUAUUCUUAAUGAAUGGAAACUACCAACUUGAGAGGAAGCUAAGAGAAAGGUUCUAUUGGGUUGACUACAAGGAAAAGGGAUAUACAUGAGGAUCUGGAAGGGCUAUAACAUUACGUCUCAAGCCAUGGGACAAUAGGAAACGAAAUUCAAAGGAAAAUAUUACAAUACGUGGGAUGCAAAUUAUAGUGCAAAGAAUUGAGAAAAAGAAUUAUUA